Molecule: ribosomal RNA, 253 nt
Filed under: uncultured bacterium
Lineage: Bacteria
Description: partial 16S ribosomal RNA
Rfam family: Bacterial small subunit ribosomal RNA
Source: RNAcentral
UACGGAGGGUGCGAGCGUUGUCCGGAGUCACUGGGCGUAAAGGGCGCGUAGGUGGCGCGAGGAGUCAACGGUGAAAGCUCGGCGCUCAACGCCGAGUCGGCCGUCGAUACUCUCGUGCUUGAGCACUGUAGAGGCAGAUGGAAUUCCGGGUGUAGCGGUGGAAUGCGUAGAGAUCCGGAAGAACACCGGUGGCGAAGGCGGGUCUCUGGGCCGUAACUGACGCUGAGGAGCGAAAGCGUGGGGAGCGAACAGG